Molecule: transfer RNA, 78 nt
Filed under: Bacillota bacterium
Lineage: Bacteria; Bacillati; Bacillota
Also listed under: 1 other name
Description: tRNA-Arg
Rfam family: tRNA
About the family: Transfer RNA (tRNA) molecules are approximately 80 nucleotides in length. Their secondary structure includes four short double-helical elements and three loops (D, anti-codon, and T loops). Further hydrogen bonds mediate the characteristic L-shaped molecular structure. tRNAs have two regions of fundamental functional importance: the anti-codon, which is responsible for specific mRNA codon recognition, and the 3' end, to which the tRNAs corresponding amino acid is attached (by aminoacyl-tRNA synthetases). tRNAs cope with the degeneracy of the genetic code in two manners: having more than one tRNA (with a specific anti-codon) for a particular amino acid; and 'wobble' base-pairing, i.e. permitting non-standard base-pairing at the 3rd anti-codon position.
Source: RNAcentral
GCGCCCGUAGCUCAGCCCGGAUAGAGCGUCUGACUACGGAUCAGAAGGCCACAGGUUCGAAUCCUGUCGGGCGCACCA